CGAGGAGCUUGCUCCUCUGACGUUAGCGGCGGACGGGUGAGUAACACGUGGAUAACCUACCUAUAAGACUGGGAUAACUUCGGGAAACCGGAGCUAAUACCGGAUAAUAUAUUGAACCGCAUGGUUCAAUAGUGAAAGACGGUUUUGCUGUCACUUAUAGAUGGAUCCGCGCCGCAUUAGCUAGUUGGUAAGGUAACGGCUUACCAAGGCAACGAUGCGUAGCCGACCUGAGAGGGUGAUCGGCCACACUGGAACUGAGACACGGUCCAGACUCCUACGGGAGGCAGCAGUAGGGAAUCUUCCGCAAUGGGCGAAAGCCUGACGGAGCAACGCCGCGUGAGUGAUGAAGGUCUUCGGAUCGUAAAACUCUGUUAUUAGGGAAGAACAAAUGUGUAAGUAACUAUGCACGUCUUGACGGUACCUAAUCAGAAAGCCACGGCUAACUACGUGCCAGCAGCCGCGGUAAUACGUAGGUGGCAAGCGUUAUCCGGAAUUAUUGGGCGUAAAGCGCGCGUAGGCGGUUUUUUAAGUCUGAUGUGAAAGCCCACGGCUCAACCGUGGAGGGUCAUUGGAAACUGCAAAACUUGAGUGCAGAAGAGGAAAGUGGAAUUCCAUGUGUAGCGGUGAAAUGCGCAGAGAUAUGCAGGAACACCAGUGGCGAAGGCGACUUUCUGGCCUGUAACUGACGCUGAUGUGCGAAAGCGUGGGGAUCAAACAGGAUUAGAUACCCUGGUAGUCCACGCCGUAAACGAUGAGUGCUAAGUGUUAGGGGGUUUCCGCCCCUUAGUGCUGCAGCUAACGCAUUAAGCACUCCGCCUGGGGAGUACGACCGCAAGGUUGAAACUCAAAGGAAUUGACGGGGACCCGCACAAGCGGU
Molecule: ribosomal RNA, 877 nt
Filed under: Staphylococcus epidermidis
Lineage: Bacteria; Bacillati; Bacillota; Bacilli; Caryophanales; Staphylococcaceae
Description: bacterial SSU rRNA
Rfam family: Bacterial small subunit ribosomal RNA
Source: RNAcentral